This 494-nucleotide ribosomal RNA is filed under the name uncultured bacterium. RNAcentral describes it as "partial 16S ribosomal RNA". It matches the Rfam family "Bacterial small subunit ribosomal RNA", at positions 28 to 523 of the family's 1533-position model. The record is from RNAcentral.
GAUUAACGCUGGCGGCAUGCCUAAUACAUGCAAGUCGAACGAGAAUUUAUUCUAGUGGCGAACGGGUGAGUAAUGUAUUUCUAACCUGCCCUAGAGAGUGGGAUAACUAUUGGAAACGAUAGCUAAUACCGCAUAGGAUAUUGGAGGGCAUCCUCUAAUGUUUAAAGGUGCGUUUGCACCACUUUGGGAUGGGGAAAUAUCACAUUAGCCUGUUGGCGGGGUAAAGGCCCACCAAGGCGAUGAUGUGUAGCCGAGCUGAGAGGUUGAUCGGCCACAAUGGGACUGAGGCACGGCCCAUACUCCUACGGGAGGCAGCAGUAGGGAAUUUUCCACAAUGGACGAAAGUCUGAUGGAGCAAUGCCGCGUGAGGGAUGACGGUCUUCGGAUUGUAAACCUCUGUUGUAAGGGAAGAACAAGCAGGAUAGGAAAUGAUCUUGCUCUGACGGUACCUUACCAGAAAGUCACGGCUAACUAUGUGCCAGCAGCCGCCGUAA